RNAcentral lists this ribosomal RNA (442 nucleotides) under uncultured bacterium. Its description in RNAcentral is "partial 16S ribosomal RNA". It matches the Rfam family "Bacterial small subunit ribosomal RNA", at positions 338 to 795 of the family's 1533-position model. The record is from RNAcentral.
CCUACGGGGCGCAGCAGUGGGGAAUAUUGGGCAAUGGGCGCAAGCCUGACCCAGCAACGCCGCGUGAAGGAAGAAGGCUUUCGGGUUGUAAACUUCUUUUAAGAGGGAAGAGUAGAAGACGGUACCUCUUGAAUAAGCCACGGCUAACUACGUGCCAGCAGCCGCGGUAAUACGUAGGUGGCAAGCGUUGUCCGGAUUUACUGGGUGUAAAGGGCGUGUAGCCGGGCCGGCAAGUCAGAUGUGAAAUCCCAAGGCUCAACCUUGGAACUGCAUUUGAAACUGUUGGUCUUGAGUAUCGGAGAGGCAGGCGGAAUUCCUAGUGUAGCGGUGAAAUGCGUAGAUAUUAGAAGGAACACCAAUAGCGUAGGCAGGUUGCUGGGACGGUUCUGACACUAAGGCACGAAAGCGUAGGGAGCAAACGGGAUUAGAUACCCGGGUAGUC